Small nucleolar RNA from Antechinus flavipes (yellow-footed antechinus), 87 nucleotides. NCBI's taxonomy places the organism in Eukaryota, Metazoa, Chordata, Mammalia, Dasyuromorphia, Dasyuridae. The record is from RefSeq and is a predicted model, not a curated record.
AGGCCCCGAUGAUGGCAGCACUGGGCGCUGACCGCCUGUGAAGGACAGACCACGUGCCCCCUGCACUGCCAGGGGUCUGAGGGGCCU